This 421-nucleotide ribosomal RNA is filed under the name uncultured bacterium. RNAcentral's name for it is "SSU rRNA". It matches the Rfam family "Bacterial small subunit ribosomal RNA", at positions 366 to 808 of the family's 1533-position model. The record is from RNAcentral.
GCAUGGGGGAACCCUGAUGCAGCGACGCCGCGUGGAGGAAGAAGGUCUUCCGAUUGUAAACUCCUGUUGUUGAGGAAGAUAAUGACGGUACUCAACAAGGAAGUGACGGCUAACUACGUGCCAGCAGCCGCGGUAAAACGUAGGUCACAAGCGUUGUCCGGAAUUACUGGGUGUAAAGGGAGCGCAGGCGGGAGAACAAGUUGGAAGUGAAAUCCAUGGGCUCAACCCAUGAACUGCUUUCAAAACUGUUUUUCUUGAGUAGUGUAGAGGUAGGCGGAAUUCCCGGUGUAGCGGUGGAAUGCGUAGAUAUCGGGAGGAACACCAGUGGCGAAGGCGGCCUACUGGGCACCAACUGACGCUGAGGCUCGAAAGUGUGGGUAGCAAACAGGAUUAGAUACCCUGGUAGUCCAAGGGCGAAUUC